UCUGUGUUGUUCAGGGGUGCAGGCAAAACACAAGGAGCCGAAGACUUUUAAGCCAAGCAAGUUUGGCUCUGUGUUAUUCACAGCAUAGCUCUUCUUUGAUUUGUAAUAUCCAUUGUGAUAAGAGCGUCCUCUACCUCUUCCACCUCCAUUUCCUCUGUGGAAUUAAACAACACCUUCGAGUCUUCCAAUGAAGCACCAGUGAGUUGCCUCUCUUGUUG
RNAcentral lists this long non-coding RNA (218 nucleotides) under Glycine max (soybean). Its description in RNAcentral is "long non-coding RNA (GMAX_LNC002089)". Lineage: Eukaryota; Viridiplantae; Streptophyta; Magnoliopsida; Fabales; Fabaceae. The record is from RNAcentral.